AUUGUUUUAAGUUAAUUAAACUAUGGGCCUUCAAAGCUUAAAUUAGAGGUAUGAAAUUUUUAAACUUUA
RNAcentral lists this transfer RNA (69 nucleotides) under Friesea gretae. RNAcentral describes it as "tRNA-Trp". The record is from RNAcentral. Lineage: Eukaryota; Metazoa; Arthropoda; Collembola; Poduromorpha; Neanuridae.